AAUAGAUACCCGGGUAGUCCACGCCGUAAACGUUGGGCACUAGGUGUGGGUCUCAACCAACGAGAUCCGCGCCGUCGCUAACGCAUUAAGUGCCCCGCCUGGGGAGUACGGCCGCAAGGCUAAAACUCAAAGAAAUUGACGGGGGCCCGCACAAGCGGCGGAGCAUGCGGAUUAAUUCGAUGCAACGCGAAGAACCUUACCAAGGCUUGACAUACACCGGAAACUUCCAGAGAUGGUUGCCCCGCAAGGUCGGUGUACAGGUGGUGCAUGGUUGUCGUCAGCUCGUGUCGUGAGAUGUUGGGUUAAGUCCCGCAACGAGCGCAACCCUCGUCCUAUGUUGCCAGCGGGUCAUGCCGGGGACUCAUAGGAGACUGCCGGGGUCAACUCGGAGGAAGGUGGGGAUGACGUCAAAUCAUCAUGCCCCUUAUGUCUUGGGCUUCACGCAUGCUACAAUGGCCGGUACAAAGGGCUGCAAUACCGCGAGGUGGAGCGAAUCCCGAAAAAGCCGGUCUCAGUUCGGAUUGGGGUCUGCAACUCGACCCC
This 543-nucleotide ribosomal RNA is filed under the name uncultured bacterium. Its description in RNAcentral is "bacterial SSU rRNA". It matches the Rfam family "Bacterial small subunit ribosomal RNA", at positions 777 to 1319 of the family's 1533-position model. The record is from RNAcentral.